GACGAACGCUGGUGGCGUGCUUAACACAUGCAAGUCGAACGGAAAGGCCCUGCUUUUGUGGGGUGCUCGAGUGGCGAACGGGUGAGUAACACGUGAGUAACCUGCCCUUGACUUUGGGAUAACUUCAGGAAACUGGGGCUAAUACCGGAUAGGAGCUCCUGCUGCAUGGUGGGGGUUGGAAAGUUUCGGCGGUUGGGGAUGGACUCGCGGCCUAUCAGCUUGUUGGUGGGGUAGUGGCUUACCAAGGCUUUGACGGGUAGCCGGCCUGAGAGGGUGACCGGCCACAUUGGGACUGAGAUACGGCCCAGACUCCUACGGGAGGCAGCAGUGGGGAAUAUUGCACAAUGGGCGGAAGCCUGAUGCAGCAACGCCGCGUGCGGGAUGACGGCCCUCGGGUUGUAAACCGCUUUCGCCUGUGACGAAGCGUGAGUGACGGUAAUGGGUAAAGAAGCACCGGCUAACUACGUG
Molecule: ribosomal RNA, 468 nt
Filed under: uncultured bacterium
Lineage: Bacteria
Description: partial 16S ribosomal RNA
Rfam family: Bacterial small subunit ribosomal RNA
Source: RNAcentral